This 585-nucleotide ribosomal RNA is filed under the name uncultured bacterium. RNAcentral describes it as "partial 16S ribosomal RNA". It matches the Rfam family "Bacterial small subunit ribosomal RNA", at positions 355 to 1375 of the family's 1533-position model. The record is from RNAcentral.
UGGGGAAUUUUGGACAAUGGGCGAAAGCCUGAUCCAGCAAUGCCGCGUGUGUGAAGAAGGCCUUCGGGUUGUAAAGCACUUUUGUCCGGAAAGAAAUCCUUGGCUCUAAUACAGUCGGGGGAUGACGGUACCGGAAGAAUAAGCACCGGCUAACUACGUGCCAGCAGCCGCGGUAAUACGUAGGGUGCAAGCGUUAAUCGGAAUUACUGGGCGUAAAGCGUGCGCAGGCGGUUUGCUAAGACCGAUGUGAAAUCCCCGGGCUCAACCUGGGAACUGCAUUGGUGACUGGCAGGCUAGAGUAUGGCAGAGGGGGGUAGAAUUCCACGUGUAGCAGUGAAAUGCGUAGAGAUGUGGGGGAAUACCGAUGGCGAAGGCAGCCCCCUGGGCCAAUACUGACGCUCAUGCACGAAAGCGUGGGGAGCAAACAGGAUUAGAUACCCUGGUAGUCCACGCCCUAAACGAUGUCAACUAGUUGUUGGGGAUUCAUUUCAUUAGUAACGUAGCUAACGCGUGAAGUUGACCGCCUGGGGAGUACGGUCGCAAGAUUAAAACUCAAAGGAAUUGACGGGGUCAUAGCUGUUUCCU